RNAcentral lists this ribosomal RNA (502 nucleotides) under uncultured bacterium. Its description in RNAcentral is "bacterial SSU rRNA". It matches the Rfam family "Bacterial small subunit ribosomal RNA", at positions 34 to 518 of the family's 1533-position model. The record is from RNAcentral.
CGCUGGCGGCGUGCCUAAUACAUGCAAGUAGAACGCUGAAGACUUUAGCUUGCUAAAGUGGAAGAGUUGCGAACGGGUGAGUAACGCGUAGGUAACCUGCCUACUAGCGGGGGAUAACUAUUGGAAACGAUAGCUAAUACCGCAUAACAGCAUUUAACCCAUGUUAGAUGCUUGAAAGGAGCAAUUGCUUCACUAGUAGAUGGACCUGCGUUGUAUUAGCUAGUUGGUGAGGUAACGGCUCACCAAGGCGACGAUACAUAGCCGACCUGAGAGGGUGAUCGGCCACACUGGGACUGAGACACGGCCCAGACUCCUACGGGAGGCAGCAGUAGGGAAUCUUCGGCAAUGGGGGCAACCCUGACCGAGCAACGCCGCGUGAGUGAAAGAAGGUUUUCGGAUCGUAAAGCUCUGUUGUAAGAGAAGAACGUGUGUGAGAGUGGAAAGUUCACACAGUGACGGUAACUUACCAGAAAGGGACGGCUAACUACGUGCCAGCCGCUGC